Molecule: transfer RNA, 72 nt
Filed under: Monodelphis domestica (gray short-tailed opossum)
Lineage: Eukaryota; Metazoa; Chordata; Mammalia; Didelphimorphia; Didelphidae
Rfam family: tRNA
About the family: Transfer RNA (tRNA) molecules are approximately 80 nucleotides in length. Their secondary structure includes four short double-helical elements and three loops (D, anti-codon, and T loops).
Source: Rfam by way of RNAcentral
GACAGUAUGGUUCAAUGGAAAGAACACUAGAUUUGGAGUCUGAAAACUUAGGUUUGAAUCCUGGUUCUGACG